Molecule: unclassified non-coding RNA, 145 nt
Filed under: uncultured Helotiales
Lineage: Eukaryota; Fungi; Ascomycota; Leotiomycetes; Helotiales
Description: sequence contains ITS2
Source: RNAcentral
CAACCCUCAAGCUUUGCUUGGUAUUAGAUGCAAUCGCUAUGAUUCAUCUCAAAAUCAGUGGCGGUGCCAUUUGGCUUCCAGCGUAGUAAUUUUCUCGCUGUGGAGGACUGGGUGUGUGCUUGCCAACAACCUCUAAAUUUUAUAA